RNAcentral lists this ribosomal RNA (253 nucleotides) under uncultured bacterium. RNAcentral's name for it is "partial 16S ribosomal RNA". It matches the Rfam family "Bacterial small subunit ribosomal RNA", at positions 524 to 776 of the family's 1533-position model. The record is from RNAcentral.
UACGUAGGGUGCAAGCGUUAUCCGGAAUCAUUGGGCGUAAAGCGUUCGUAGGCGGUUUGGUAAGUUCGUGGUUAAAUCUGGCCGCUCAACGGUCAACAUGCCACGAAUACUGCUAAGCUAGAGGAUGGCAGAGGUAACUGGAAUUCUGUGUGUAGGGGUAAAAUCCGUUGAUACACAGAGGAACACCAAAAGCGAAGGCAGGUUACUGGGCCAUUUCUGACGCUGUUGAACGAAAGCGUGGGGAGCAAACAGG